RNAcentral lists this ribosomal RNA (460 nucleotides) under uncultured bacterium. Its description in RNAcentral is "partial 16S ribosomal RNA". It matches the Rfam family "Bacterial small subunit ribosomal RNA", at positions 338 to 795 of the family's 1533-position model. The record is from RNAcentral.
CCUACGGGAGGCAGCAGUGAGGAAUAUUGGUCAAUGGACGAGAGUCUGAACCAGCCAAGUAGCGUGAAGGAUGACUGCCCUAUGGGUUGUAAACUUCUUUUAUAUGGGAAUAAAAUGUUCCACGUGUGGGAUUUUGUAUGUACCAUAUGAAUAAGGAUCGGCUAACUCCGUGCCAGCAGCCGCGGUAAUACGGAGGAUCCGAGCGUUAUCCGGGUUUAUUGGGUUUAAAGGGAGCGUAGGUGGAUUGUUAAGUCAGUUGUGAAAGUUUGCGGCUCAACCGUAAAAUUGCAGUUGAAACUGGCAGUCUUGAGUACAGGAGAGGUAGGCGGAAUUCGUGGUGUAGCGGUGAAAUGCUUAGAUAUCACGAAGAACUCCGAUUGCGAAGGCAGUUCACUGGACUGCAACUGACACUGAGGCUCGAAAGUGUGGGUAUCAAACAGGAUUAGAUACCCGAGUAGUC